Molecule: transfer RNA, 69 nt
Filed under: Spea bombifrons (plains spadefoot toad)
Lineage: Eukaryota; Metazoa; Chordata; Amphibia; Anura; Pelobatidae
Description: tRNA-Trp
Rfam family: tRNA
About the family: Transfer RNA (tRNA) molecules are approximately 80 nucleotides in length. Their secondary structure includes four short double-helical elements and three loops (D, anti-codon, and T loops).
Source: RNAcentral
AGAAGUUUAGGUUAAAGAAACCAGAAGCCUUCAAAGCUUCCAACAGGAGUUAAAAUCUCCUAAUUUCUG